UCGACAAGAUAUACACUUAGAUUUUAUUCAGAACUACAUUAUAUAAUAUAACGUAUAUACAAACCUAUAUAAACGUGUGUGCCGUGUGAGAACUGAGUCAAAUCCUGACAUAACACAUGUGGACAUUUUCGAAACAAACGAAUCGCACGUGUUUAUUUGGUAUCUCUAUGAUUUGACCUACAACGGACCCUAUUCCUACAGUAAUAAAGUAAAAACCUGUGUCUUUUAUGAAAUAUGUAUUGCGUUUCGACCACCCUUGGACUUUUUGUCCAGUACCUAUA
Cinara cedri is the source of this 281-nucleotide non-coding RNA. The record is from the annotation of a GenBank genome assembly. Lineage: Eukaryota; Metazoa; Arthropoda; Insecta; Hemiptera; Aphididae.